Manis pentadactyla (Chinese pangolin) is the source of this 716-nucleotide long non-coding RNA. RefSeq lists it as uncharacterized. The transcript has 5 exons. The record is from RefSeq and is a predicted model, not a curated record. NCBI's taxonomy places the organism in Eukaryota, Metazoa, Chordata, Mammalia, Pholidota, Manidae.
GAGACGUUGGCUCUCCUGAAGGGCUUGGGACAGUUGUGGUGUCUGCUGGUUUCCUUGUGGUGUGGCUUAACUGGUUCCUCUCUCUCCUGAUUUUAUAUGAACUGAAAUGCCUUGAAUAAGCGGAGUCAAGACUUCAUAGGUCAGGCUGUUCUUCUCAUGGCCCAUCCCACCCGGAGGCCCAAAAUGUCAGGUGGUCCUGCUGUUAGUGGUAAGGUGGUGACCUCAGAUCAUUCCAGUGUUAAGUGUGUUUCUGAAGUUCAUUGAGUUCCUAUAUGGAAUGCCAGCUCACUCAUUUUUCACUGCUAUAUAGUACUUCACAGAAAGGCUCUAACUCGGUCUUUUGUUCCUGUGUUUUACUCUCACUGGUCCAGUGUUGAAGAUCCCUUCCUUCCAAGAGGCCCAGAGAGGUAAAGGAACUGGCCUGAGGCUCCACAGCAGGUUUGGGUUGAAGAGGAUUCUGAGGAUCAAUCUGAGAUCAAUGGGAUAAAGGUCACAAUUAAUGAUGUCUGCCCUGGACGCAGGAGGGAAUGGAGAGGUGUCUGCUUAGACAUCCCUUGUUUCUGGAACAGACCAGAUUGUGAGCCCUCAAGCACAGCAGGCAUAUCUGCUGCAUGUGUCAUCAUGUCCACUGUGUGGCUGGGGCCCUGGCAUGCAGAAGGCACUCAAUAAAUGCACAGAAAAAAGUUUGCUCACUCUUGGAAGAAAAAAAAAAAAAC